This 254-nucleotide ribosomal RNA is filed under the name uncultured bacterium. RNAcentral describes it as "partial 16S ribosomal RNA". It matches the Rfam family "Bacterial small subunit ribosomal RNA", at positions 524 to 776 of the family's 1533-position model. The record is from RNAcentral.
UACGGGGGGGGCAAGCGUUGUUCGGAAUUACCGGGCGUAAAGGGCUCGUAGGCGGCCAACUAAGUCAGACGUGAAAUCCCUCGGCUUAACCGGGGAACUGCGUCUGAUACUGGAUGGCUUGAGUUUGGGAGAGGGAUGCGGAAUUCCAGGUGUAGCGGUGAAAUGCGUAGAUAUCUGGAGGAACACCGGUGGCGAAGGCGGCAUCCUGGACCAACACUGACGCUGAGUGAGCGAAAGCCAGGGGAGCAAACGGG